GGAGCUUCCUUCCGGCAGGCGUGGCUGGGCCGACGCCGCCAAGUGGUGCAAGGAUUGCCUUAUUUGACAGUUUUUCUUGAAGAAAUGAUAAUCUUGAAUAAUUUUAAUUAACUUCAGCAUACUAAUGACUGUGGGGUUUUUGGUGCCUCUUCAAUUUCGACUCAUUCACCCUAAUCCUGGCCAGUGCAGAAGCAGAACAGACUGAGGAUGAAGCUUGUUAAUGAGGCAAGGAGUCAUCUUUCACCUGAAAUGGAAAGGAUUAAAUCCCAAGCCCAGAGAAGCCCCAUCCUGCUCACAUCCAACAGUGUCUGUACAACUACCUGCUUUUGGUGACUCCCUGCUACUGUGGAGCUAAGAGAGAGAGGACGCUGUAGUUUGAUGCCAAGGGCUAAGAUAUGGCAGCCUGCAAGCUCCCACCUGGGAAAGAACAACAGCAGAGUAUUCCCAUGAGAGGAGAGAAAAGCAGGGCCUCCCUGGUGGCGCAAGGGGUUGAGACACAGCCUAUGAAGCUGGCCACAGCCACUGCAGCAUGAGUUCAAUCCGUGGCCAGGGAGCAACCUACAUGGCGCAGCAGACCUCUCCUGUCACGCCCGCUGCUCCCCUCAGCAGUAUGUUUCAUCAGUCUGCCUGUUCUGUUCCCCACUCCAUCUCUGAUAAAUCCUCUCACCACCACCACCCCCCCUCCCCGCACCUCUGGCCUAUACCCCAGCUCUUGUAUGCAUAAAAAUAAAAUAAAUCUUUAAAAACAGAGGAAAUGAGAACAUUGAUGAUAGCUGACCCAAGGAAAAUGCAAAACCUUAGUAUACACCUCAGUCCUAGUUAAACCACAGUAAGAUCUUGAUUCAUCAUCAUGAUCAAUAAAAACCAAGGCUGGUCUCAUCUGACCACAUGAUCUUGGAUACCGCAAUCCUAAGGCACUAGUAAU
This is a long non-coding RNA of Talpa occidentalis (Iberian mole), 925 nucleotides long. RefSeq lists it as uncharacterized. The record is from RefSeq and is a predicted model, not a curated record. The transcript has 5 exons. NCBI's taxonomy places the organism in Eukaryota, Metazoa, Chordata, Mammalia, Eulipotyphla, Talpidae.